GCUAGCACGAAAAGCCUGGGAGCGUGAUUGGUCCGGCGGUACAGGCGCGGCUCAGACUAGUCUUGCUGUCGAGGAGGUGGAGGUCAUGAGGAUUGCAGAGGACAGAAGCCCGCGGGCGCCCUCGGUGGCCACUGGCGCCUCCUCCUCUUUCCGGGAGUGAUGGAGGAAGCUGCCUCCAGGAGGACCAGAUGUGGGUGGGCUCUGGGAGGCCCCUAGCCUCCUGUGGAGGCCAGAUAGGCAGGGGAUUCAGACUGGAAGGAGAGGCCUGAGGAACUACGUUUUUGGCCGUUCUUUCCCUCACUAGUUGUUAGAUGGGCUGACUUACCUUCCUAUACCUGCGUCCUCGCCUGUAAAAUGGGUCAUCUUUCUAUUUAUUCCAGGAUUAUUGGGAAGAUAAAUGAGACCCUAUUCUGAAGGCGCGCAGCACGUAGAGAGAACUGGGGCCGCACCCCCGCUAUCUGUAUGGUCUUGUCUCUCUGGGCUGUUGUCCCUCAGACUGCCUCUGCAAGGAAGCACAGACUGGUGCCAUGGAAAGCCCGCAAGGAGAGGUCCCAUGGAAAGGCCUGGCGUAGGUAUUGUAGCCAAUAGCCCAGUCGUCUCAGCAAACACGACGACCCUGAUCUUCUGUGGCCAGAGGGGCAUCUUCCUCCCUUACAGGACCUGGAACUGACACACCUUCCCUCAGCUCCCAAAUACUGCCCCCCAGCACCCGCUGAGUGACAGCACCGCCCCCCAGCACCCGCUGAGUGACAGCACCGCCCCCCAGCACCCGCUGAGUGACAGCACCGCCCCCCAGCACCCGCUGAGUGACAGCACCGACCCCCAGCACCCGCUGAGUGACAGCACUGACCCCCAGUACCCGCUGAGUGGUCAGGGUGUUAUCAAUGCUUUCACCCAAAUCUGAGCACUGACACCUCUCUACAUCUGGGAGGUGACAGAAGCCCCUCCGAGCUCUGUGUGCAUGGGACGCUGCCUGGCCCACUGGCUCCCCCGGGUGCUGCUGUUCCUUCUUCUUGGACCGCUGCGCCUGGUGAGAGGUGAGCUUCCUUGUGCCUCCUCCUUGGCACUUCCAGACCUGUCUCUUUCCUAGCACAAAAGCCCCAGAUUUGAACCUCGUAUCAUCAGAUCUUAACUUGUUGAAGUUGUCUGCACGCCUGGGGGCUUCCCUCAAAUCCUUCCUGUUUUACUCCUGAUUCCCUGUCACUUUCCCCAACCACUCCUGUCAUAGUUCCUGGUGAUCUCAGAAUCCACGGGGGAUUCUCCAACCUUCUGUACAUCCUCCCCUUCAGCAGUCCUGUCGCCUUCCCAGCUGGCCACUCGCUCCCCUGGCCAGGGUCCUUCUCACAACUGCAGCCUCUCCACAGUCUAACCUCAAGGCCCACAUUCUCUGACGAGUUCCCAACCUUGCAGCUCAUGCCCUCCACUCCCCUUUAGCCCCGCCGAGAUCUGCGGUCCUCGGAUAAGACCCAGGUUAGUACCUUCUCAUCCCCUGAUGGCCUUUCCCUCCUCUGUAUCAAGAGAGACUCUCCAGAUCGGCCACUGUGCCUGCUCCCUAACCCUACCCCCCUCCUCUUGCUUCAUCAUAUUCACUUGGCCAAACCAUGACCCAUGUUAAAUCCCAGCUAUCUCCGUGUCUUUGUUCCU
Leopardus geoffroyi (Geoffroy's cat) is the source of this 1644-nucleotide long non-coding RNA. RefSeq lists it as uncharacterized. The record is from RefSeq and is a predicted model, not a curated record. The transcript has 3 exons. Lineage: Eukaryota; Metazoa; Chordata; Mammalia; Carnivora; Felidae.